This 254-nucleotide ribosomal RNA is filed under the name uncultured bacterium. RNAcentral describes it as "partial 16S ribosomal RNA". It matches the Rfam family "Bacterial small subunit ribosomal RNA", at positions 524 to 776 of the family's 1533-position model. The record is from RNAcentral.
CACGUAGGGGGCAAGCGUUGUCCGGAUUUAUUGGGCGUAAAGAGCUCGUAGGCGGCUCGGUAAGUCGGGUGUGAAACCUCCAGGCUCAACCUGGAGACGCCACCUGAUACUGCUGUGGCUAGAGUCCGGUAGGGGAGUGUGGAACUCCUGGUGUAGCGGUGAAAUGCGCAGAUAUCAGGAAGAACACCAGCGGCGAAGGCGGCACUCUGGGCCGGAACUGACGCUGAGGAGCGAAAGCGUGGGUAGCAAACAGG